GACGGAGCGAAGCGACGUCAAACCGAUAAAACAGCAGUGUAAAGUGAGCCGCAGGGCGCUUUGCGCGACAGCGCAAAGGCAGGCGGUUUCGCGUAGCGAAAGCGAAUGCUUUGGGGUGGGGUGACUGCGUACCUUUUGUAUAAUGGGUCAGCGACUUAUAUUCUGUAGCAAGGUUAACCGAAUAGGGGAGCCGGAGGGAAACCGAGUCUUAAUUGGGCGUUAAGUUGCAGGGUAUAGACCCGAAACCCGGUGAUCUAGCCAUGGGCAGGUUGAAGGUUGGGUAACACUAACUGGAGGACCGAACCGACUAAUGUUGAAAAAUUAGCGGAUGACCUGUGGCUGGGGGUGAAAGGCCAAUCAAACCGGGAGAUAGCUGGUUCUCCCCGAAAGCUAUUUAGGUAGCGCCUCGUGAAUUCAUCUCCGGGGGUAGAGCACUGUUUCGGCUAGGGGGCCAUCCCGGCUUACCAACCCGAUGCAAACUGCGAAUACCGGAGAAUGUUAUCACGGGAGACACACGGCGGGUGCUAACGUCCGUCGUGAAGAGGGAAACAACCCAGACCGCCAGCUAAGGUCCCAAAGUCAUGGUUAAGUGGGAAACGAUGUGGGAAGGCCCAGACAGCCAGGAUGUUGGCUUAGAAGCAGCCAUCAUUUAAAGAAAGCGUAAUAGCUCACUGGUCGAGUCGGCCUGCGCGGAAGAUGUAACGGGGCUAAACCAUGCACCGAAGCUGCGGCAGCGACACUGUGUGUUGUUGGGUAGGGGAGCGUUCUGUAAGCCUGCGAAGGUGGCCUGUGAGGGUUGCUGGAGGUAUCAGAAGUGCGAAUGCUGACAUAAGUAACGAUAAAGCGGGUGAAAAGCCCGCUCGCCGGAAGACCAAGGGUUCCUGUCCAACGUUAAUCGGGGCAGGGUGAGUCGACCCCUAAGGCGAGGCCGAAAGGCGUAGUCGAUGGGAAACGGGUUAAUAUUCCCGUACUUGGUGUUACUGCGAAGGGGGGACGGAGAAGGCUAUGUUGGCCGGGCGACGGUUGUCCCGGUUUAAGCGUGUAGGUGUGUGUUCCAGGUAAAUCCGGUUCACUUUAACACUGAGGCGUGACGACGAGGCACUACGGUGCUGAAGCAACAAAUGCCCUGCUUCCAGGAAAAGCCUCUAAGCAUCAGGUAACAUCAAAUCGUACCCCAAACCGACACAGGUGGUCAGGUAGAGAAUACCAAGGCGCUUGAGAGAACUCGGGUGAAGGAACUAGGCAAAAUGGUGCCGUAACUUCGGGAGAAGGCACGCUGACACGUAGGUGAAGUGAUUUACUCAUGGAGCUGAAGUCAGUCGAAGAUACCAGCUGGCUGCAACUGUUUAUUAAAAACACAGCACUGUGCAAACACGAAAGUGGACGUAUACGGUGUGACGCCUGCCCGGUGCCGGAAGGUUAAUUGAUGGGGUCAGCGCAAGCGAAGCUCCUGAUCGAAGCCCCGGUAAACGGCGGCCGUAACUAUAACGGUCCUAAGGUAGCGAAAUUCCUUGUCGGGUAAGUUCCGACCUGCACGAAUGGCGUAAUGAUGGCCAGGCUGUCUCCACCCGAGACUCAGUGAAAUUGAACUCGCUGUGAAGAUGCAGUGUACCCGCGGCAAGACGGAAAGACCCCGUGAACCUUUACUAUAGCUUGACACUGAACAUUGAGCCUUGAUGUGUAGGAUAGGUGGGAGGCUUUGAAGUGUGGACGCCAGUCUGCAUGGAGCCGACCUUGAAAUACCACCCUUUAAUGUUUGAUGUUCUAACGUGGACCCGUUACCCGGGUUGCGGACAGUGUCUGGUGGGUAGUUUGACUGGGGCGGUCUCCUCCUAAAGAGUAACGGAGGAGCACGAAGGUUGGCUAAUCCUGGUCGGACAUCAGGAGGUUAGUGCAAUGGCAUAAGCCAGCUUGACUGCGAGCGUGACGGCGCGAGCAGGUGCGAAAGCAGGUCAUAGUGAUCCGGUGGUUCUGAAUGGAAGGGCCAUCGCUCAACGGAUAAAAGGUACUCCGGGGAUAACAGGCUGAUACCGCCCAAGAGUUCAUAUCGACGGCGGUGUUUGGCACCUCGAUGUCGGCUCAUCACAUCCUGGGGCUGAAGUAGGUCCCAAGGGUAUGGCUGUUCGCCAUUUAAAGUGGUACGCGAGCUGGGUUUAGAACGUCGUGAGACAGUUCGGUCCCUAUCUGCCGUGGGCGCUGGAGAACUGAGGGGGGCUGCUCCUAGUACGAGAGGACCGGAGUGGACGCAUCACUGGUGUUCGGGUUGUCAUGCCAAUGGCACUGCCCGGUAGCUAAAUGCGGAAGAGAUAAGUGCUGAAAGCAUCUAAGCACGAAACUUGCCCCGAG
Molecule: ribosomal RNA, 2346 nt
Filed under: Salmonella enterica subsp. enterica serovar Enteritidis
Lineage: Bacteria; Pseudomonadati; Pseudomonadota; Gammaproteobacteria; Enterobacterales; Enterobacteriaceae
Description: partial 23S ribosomal RNA
Rfam family: Bacterial large subunit ribosomal RNA
Source: RNAcentral